Molecule: transfer RNA, 82 nt
Filed under: Desulfuromonas soudanensis
Lineage: Bacteria; Pseudomonadati; Thermodesulfobacteriota; Desulfuromonadia; Desulfuromonadales; Desulfuromonadaceae
Rfam family: tRNA
About the family: Transfer RNA (tRNA) molecules are approximately 80 nucleotides in length. Their secondary structure includes four short double-helical elements and three loops (D, anti-codon, and T loops). Further hydrogen bonds mediate the characteristic L-shaped molecular structure. tRNAs have two regions of fundamental functional importance: the anti-codon, which is responsible for specific mRNA codon recognition, and the 3' end, to which the tRNAs corresponding amino acid is attached (by aminoacyl-tRNA synthetases). tRNAs cope with the degeneracy of the genetic code in two manners: having more than one tRNA (with a specific anti-codon) for a particular amino acid; and 'wobble' base-pairing, i.e. permitting non-standard base-pairing at the 3rd anti-codon position.
Source: Rfam by way of RNAcentral
GCGGUUGUGGUGGAAUUGGUAGACACGCACGCUUGAGGGGCGUGUGCUUAACAGCGUGGGAGUUCGAGUCUCCCCAACCGCA